CCAGGAUUGCCUCAGUAAGGGCGACUGAAGUGGCAAUAGCUCAUGAUGUGAAUCUGCGUAAGCCGAAUUGUGGUCUCACUUGUGUUAGGGGCUGGGCCAAGUCCGUUGGAACACGGCAGCAGAGAGGGUGAGACUCCCGUUUGCCUGGCCCAUGGAACAAGUGUUGUUGAGUCGAGUUGUUUGGGAUUGCAGCUCUAAGUGGGUGGUAAAUUCCAUCGAAAGCUAAAUACUGGUGGGAGACCGAUAGCGUACAAGUACCGUGAGGGAAAGAUGCAAAGAAGCGCGAAAGCGCUGUUAAAGAGUACCUGAACUUGCUGAAACGGAAGCGAAGGAAACCAGUGCCAGCUGCGUCAUACUUCCCUGACUGCUUGCGGUCGGGGCGCUGUGGCCAGUGUUGUCAGGCUUGGUUCAAGGAUGCGGAAGAGUGUGGGUAGAGUUGAUGCCCAUUGCCUGCGCAGCGUUGGACUGAGGUUGACGAAAUGGUUUUCUUUUUCCCGUCUAGAAACACGGACCAAGGAGUUUAACAUAUGUGCGAGUACAGAGGUGGCAAACCUCCGUGCGCAAUGAAAGUGACAGUGGCUGGAAUUUUUGCACAGUCCGCCGGCCUCAAUCCCUCGGGAGAAAUGGUCUGAGUGU
RNAcentral lists this ribosomal RNA (636 nucleotides) under Halamphora calidilacuna. Its description in RNAcentral is "partial large subunit ribosomal RNA". It matches the Rfam family "Eukaryotic large subunit ribosomal RNA", at positions 69 to 797 of the family's 3401-position model. The record is from RNAcentral. Lineage: Eukaryota; Bacillariophyta; Bacillariophyceae; Naviculales; Amphipleuraceae.